Gavialis gangeticus (Gharial) is the source of this 165-nucleotide long non-coding RNA. RefSeq lists it as uncharacterized. The record is from RefSeq and is a predicted model, not a curated record. The transcript has 3 exons. NCBI's taxonomy places the organism in Eukaryota, Metazoa, Chordata, Crocodylia, Gavialidae.
UGGUGGAGAAUAUGCAGCAUGCUUACAGGCUCGGCAGUGCUACACUCGUUAGCACCAUGACCGAAAAGGACUUAGGGGUCUUGAUUGACGACAAGAUGAAUAUAAGCCACCAAUGUGAUGCUAUGGCUGGCAAAGCAAACCUAACUCUGGCAUGCAUUCACUGAU